GAGAAGAACGUAGUGAAAUGCGAUAAGUAAUGUGAAUUGCAGAAUUCAGUGAAUCAUCGAAUCUUUGAACGCACCUUGCGCCUUUUGGUAUUCCGAAAGGCACACCUGUUUGAGCGUCAUGAAUACCUCAAUCUCCAUCUUUUCUUCGGAUUGAUGGGUGACUUGGAUGUUGAGCCCUGCUGGUAUGCUAUAUCAGCUGGCUUUAAACUUAUUAGCCGGCUCUGUACUGGAUCGGUUUGACUCGACGUGAUAAUAUUAUCGUUGAGGAUGCAUGUCUCAUGCAGCCGGAAAGUAUCAAAGCAGCUUCUAGCUUGCCUUUAGUGCACUUUUACAUUUUAGACCUCAGAUCAGGUGGGACUACCCGCUGAACUUAAGCAUAUCAAUAAGCGGAGGA
Molecule: unclassified non-coding RNA, 394 nt
Filed under: soil metagenome
Description: partial contains 5.8S ribosomal RNA, internal transcribed spacer 2, and large subunit ribosomal RNA
Rfam family: 5.8S ribosomal RNA (bases 3-119)
Source: RNAcentral